GGUCGUGAUAAGCGCUGAAAGCAUCUAAGCACGAAGCACAUCCCAAGAUUAAAACUCAAGUUUCGACGCAAGUUGAAGCAUUAACCUCCAGGGAGAUUACCUGGUUGAUAGGCCGCAAGUGUACGCACAGCAAUGUGUUCAGCUAAGCGGUACUAAUGGU
RNAcentral lists this ribosomal RNA (160 nucleotides) under candidate division WWE3 bacterium. RNAcentral's name for it is "partial 23S ribosomal RNA". It matches the Rfam family "Bacterial large subunit ribosomal RNA", at positions 2757 to 2910 of the family's 2925-position model. The record is from RNAcentral. Lineage: Bacteria; candidate division WWE3.